GACGAACGCUGGCGGCGUGCUUAACACAUGCAAGUCGAACGAAGUGGCGAACGGGUGAGUAAUACGUGGGUAAACUGCCCUCUUUCUUGGGAUAAGCCUUGGAAACGGUUGCUAAUUCCUAAUAAAGGGGUUUAGGCUUGCGGCCUAUCAGCUUGUUGGUGGGGUGAUGGCCUACGAAGGAGGCGAAGGGUAGCCGGCCUGAGAGGGGGACCAGACACGUUGAGGCUGGGAUACGGCCCAGGCAUCUACGGGAGGCAGCAGUGGGGGGUAUUGAACAAUGGGCGAAAGACUGGUGCAGCGACGACGCGUGGAGGAUGAAGGCUUUAGGGUUGUAAACCUCUUUCGCUAUCGAACGGGUAGGUGGAGAAGAAGCGCCGGCUAACUACGUGCCAGCAGCCGCGGUAAUUC
This 408-nucleotide ribosomal RNA is filed under the name uncultured bacterium. RNAcentral describes it as "partial 16S ribosomal RNA". It matches the Rfam family "Bacterial small subunit ribosomal RNA", at positions 28 to 526 of the family's 1533-position model. The record is from RNAcentral.